AGCGAACGCUGGCGGCAGGCUUAACACAUGCAAGUCGAGCGGGCACUUUCGGGUGUCAGCGGCGGACGGGUGAGUAACGCGUGGGAACGUGCCCUCUGGUUCGGAAUAACUCAGGGAAACUUGAGCUAAUACCGGAUACGCCCUUUUGGGGAAAGGCUUGCUGCCGGAGGAUCGGCCCGCGUCUGAUUAGCUAGUUGGUGAGGUAACGGCUCACCAAGGCGACGAUCAGUAGCUGGUCUGAGAGGAUGAUCAGCCACACUGGGACUGAGACACGGCCCAGACUCCUACGGGAGGCAACAGUGGGGAAUAUUGGACAAUGGGCGCAAGCCUGAUCCAGCCAUGCCGCGUGAGUGAUGAAGGCCUUAGGGUUGUAAAGCUCUUUUAUCCGGGACGAUAAUGACGGUACCGGAGGAAUAAGCCCCGGCUAACUUCGUG
This 435-nucleotide ribosomal RNA is filed under the name uncultured bacterium. RNAcentral describes it as "partial 16S ribosomal RNA". It matches the Rfam family "Bacterial small subunit ribosomal RNA", at positions 29 to 507 of the family's 1533-position model. The record is from RNAcentral.